This 269-nucleotide small nuclear RNA is filed under the name Heterocephalus glaber (naked mole-rat). Its description in RNAcentral is "7SK RNA". It matches the Rfam family "7SK RNA". Rfam says of the family: 7SK was discovered as an abundant small nuclear RNA in the mid-70s but a possible function has only recently been suggested. Two independent studies have found that 7SK RNA binds the CDK9/cyclin T complex (known as elongation factor P-TEFb). The record is from Rfam by way of RNAcentral. Lineage: Eukaryota; Metazoa; Chordata; Mammalia; Rodentia; Bathyergidae.
GGACCUGAAGGCGAUCUGGCUGUGACAUCUGUCACCUCACUGAUGGCCAGGGUUGAUUAGGCAGAUCUGGCUGGCUGGCGGGUGUCCCCUUCCUCCUUCAACACCCCACAAGGCUAGCCAAGUAGCUGUGCUCCCUUGCUAGAACCUCCAAAAAAGCUCUCCAAUAUACCAGAGGCAAAUUUCAGAAACUGUAUUAGAAAUUCAGGCAAGCCUCAACCCACUCACUUAAAAAUUAGUUGCUGCCCCCAAAACACACAUAUACAAACUUU